AGCUUGCUUUUCCGCCGGCGACCGGCGCACGGGUGCGCACCGCGUAUGGAACCUGCCUUGUACAGGGGAAUAGCCCAGGGAAACUUGGAUUAAUGCCCCGUAGUACCGUAUUUCGGCAUCGUUAUACGGUUAAAGCCUUCGGGCGGUACAAGAUGGCCAUGCGUCCCAUUAGCUUGUUGGUAAGGUAACGGCUUACCAAGGCUACGAUGGGUAGGGGCCCUGAGAGGGGGAUCCCCCACACUGGUACUGAGACACGGACCAGACUCCUACGGGAGGCAGCAGUGAGGAAUAUUGGACAAUGGAGGAGACUCUGAUCCAGCCAUGCCGCGUGCAGGAAGAAUGCCCUAUGGGUAGUAAACUGCUUUUAUACGGGAAGAAAAAGAGCUACGUGUAGCUUACUGACGGUACCGUAAGAAUAAGGACCGGCUAACUCCGUGCCAGCAGCCGCGGUAAUACGGAGGGUCCGAGCGUUAUCCGGAAUUAUUGGGUUUAAAGGGUCCGUAGGCGGGCCGAUAAGUCAGGGGUGAAAGUCUGCCGCUCAACGGUAGAACUGCCUUUGAUACUGUCGGUCUUGAGUUAUAGUGAAGUUGCCGGAAUAUGUAGUGUAGCGGUGAAAUGCAUAGAUAUUACAUAGAACACCGAUUGCGAAGGCAGGUGACUAACUAUAUACUGACGCUGAUGGACGAAAGCGUGGGGAGCGAACAGGAUUAGAUACCCUGGUAGUCCACGCCGUACACGAUGGAUACUAGCUGUCCGGAGCCUUGAGUUCUGGGCGGCCAAGCGAAAGUGA
RNAcentral lists this ribosomal RNA (790 nucleotides) under Maribacter sp. RHA_95. RNAcentral's name for it is "bacterial SSU rRNA". It matches the Rfam family "Bacterial small subunit ribosomal RNA", at positions 77 to 860 of the family's 1533-position model. Lineage: Bacteria; Pseudomonadati; Bacteroidota; Flavobacteriia; Flavobacteriales; Flavobacteriaceae. The record is from RNAcentral.